This 507-nucleotide ribosomal RNA is filed under the name uncultured bacterium. RNAcentral describes it as "bacterial SSU rRNA". It matches the Rfam family "Bacterial small subunit ribosomal RNA", at positions 18 to 518 of the family's 1533-position model. The record is from RNAcentral.
CCUGGCUCAGGAUGAACGCUAGCGGCAGGCUUAACACAUGCAAGUCGAGGGGCAUCGGGAGUAGCAAUACUGCCGGCGACCGGCGCAAGGGUGCGUAACGCGUGAGCAACAUGCCCGUAUCAGGGGGAUAAUCCAUGGAAACGUGGUCUAAUACCCCAUAGUAAUUAUGUAAGGCAUCUUAUAUAAUUUAAAGCUUUGGUGGAUACGGAUUGGCUCGCGUGACAUUAGCUAGAUGGUAAGGUAACGGCUUACCAUGGCUACGAUGUCUAGGGGUUCUGAGAGGAAGGUCCCCCCACACUGGAACUGAGACACGGUCCAGACUCCUACGGGAGGCAGCAGUGAGGAAUAUUGGACAAUGGAUGGAAAUCUGAUCCAGCCAUGCCGCGUGCAGGGAAAGACGGCCCUAUGGGUUGUAAACUGCUUUUGUAUGGGAGCAAUAAGGGCUACGCGUAGUCCGAUGAGAGUACCAUACGAAUAAGCACCGGCUAACUCCGUGCCAGCAGCUGC